Taeniopygia guttata (zebra finch) is the source of this 2122-nucleotide non-coding RNA. The record is from RefSeq and is a predicted model, not a curated record. NCBI's taxonomy places the organism in Eukaryota, Metazoa, Chordata, Aves, Passeriformes, Estrildidae.
AUGAUGCAGGCGGGCGGGGAGCGAAGCCAGAGGCGGCGAGGCCCGUGUGCGGGGGGCGGGGGCUCGUGCCGGGCCUGUCGCCGUCACGGUCCCUGUCACAACAACAGCCGCGGCACGGCAGGCGGGACUUCCGGCUCGCCUGUCCCACGGCAACCGCUCGAGCAGCCGCGAUUCUUCCGGCCGGGGAUCGCGGGGCGGGGCUGUUGCAUCCGGGCACGGAGUCACCUGCAGGGUGCGGAGCCGCCCGCAGGGCUCCCGGGGCACUCGAAGCCGCUCCACAGACUUCGUCGCCCAAGCAGGUUUCUGGCUGAAGCAGAGCGCGUUCCUGGAGCAGCCCACUGUUCGUUUCCGGUACGAGGCUCUCUUCGUCGCCACCAUCGGGUCCGGCCCGGGCAGCUUCUUGGCGUGGAGCACAUUCCCAGCGUUCAACAGGCUCCAGGAGGACCGGCUCCGAGUCCCGCUCCUGUCGGUAGGCUUGCCCAGGGCGGCCCGGCAACAGUGGCGAGAAGCGAGGCUGCAGAGUGGAGCCAGUGGACCGGUAGCCGGCUCAGGGCACGAGUGCUGAUGGCGCUGUUGAGCGGGUGGCCUGUCAGGCACUGCUGCCUUCAGACUAGAGAAGAAGACAAAAAUCAUGAUGGCAAAAUGGAUCAGUUGCAUUUUAAACUGGAACUUCCAUUACAACCAACAGAGCAUGUAGUUGGCGUUCAGCUGAUUCUACUCUUUUCCUACCAGCUUUAUAGAAUGUCAACAUUUGUGAUGCAGAGCAUGGCUUUUCUUCAGUUUUUUUCUCCUGUGCCAGGGUCUCAGCUGUAUGUGAAUGGAGACUUGAAAUUAAACCAGAGGCAAUUACUUAACCACUGUGGACUGGAUACCAGAUACAAUGUGUCUGUGGUCAAUGGCACAAGUCCUUUUGCAAGUGACUAUGAUCUAGCAAACAUCAUUGGAGCGUAUUGGGAUAGAAAUGUGACAACAGUCUUUUCAGAUCCCAGCCCUGUUUGGAUGACUGGAAGAGCACCAGAUAUGCCAUUUAUCGUUAAUGCCACCAUUCAUUACCCAGUGGAAGUUAUCUUAUAUCAGCCAGGAUUUUGGGAAAUUAUUAAAUUUGCCUGGAUCCAGUAUGUCAGCAUCCUCCUUAUCUUUCUUUGGGUGUUUGAUAGGAUUAAGAUGUUUUUGUUCCAGAAUCAGGUGUUGACUACAAUUCCAGUAUCACCAGUUCUGCCUGUAUCUCCAGUACUAUCCUACAAACAGCACCAGUCCUGAAGAGAUGCCUGAGAACACUUUAUAGAAUUGCCAUUCAAAAACAGUUACCUGAUUUUAUUCUCUAUACACUUCUAACUUCAGAAGAUCAGAAUUUUAUGGAGAAAACUGGAAAAAAUCCUCUACAGUAAUGUAAGCAAAGAACUAUAUACAUUAAGAGGAGGCAAUCGAAAAAGUUAUUUACUUGCAGGUGGUAUGUAAUUGCUGAAUAUGACCUGAAGCCAUCCCUCCAUUUCUUGUCAAAGAGGUGCUUCAUGACUGGGACUAAUAACUGAAUGCAGGGGAAAAGGAGCCGCAAAGGCACAUGUUACCACAGCAGGGAAAAAAACCCUGUGAUAGCUCUGCUGUGCUCACUUCCUGGAUGACUUUUUAUACUGACCGUAGUUCUUGGUCAUAGUUCUGAGCUUGAAGAGAUACUCUACUUUUGUAAGUAACCAAGCAAUAGAAAAAAAGCAAGACUUUGUAGCUUAAGCAACAAACUGAACUACACUGGAAAAAUAUAUACCUGAGAAGAGGUUUAGAGCCUCUUAAAGAGCCUUUCUCAGAAAGCUAUCUGCAAGGACUCUUCCUUCAGCUUGCAGAGCAACACAAAAAGUCAAAACCACUACCAUGCACCAUAGUGCUAUUACACAGAUCGUCUCUCUAUACAUAUGACAGAGCAAUCUAAAUGCUCGUCAUUGAGAAAGGAUACGGUGGAUCCCUAGGAUUAAUCAAGGUUCUGUAAGAAGGAAAAAGAAAGCAGCUUUAAGUUAAAAGUCCUAUCAUAAACUGACGUGCGAACAUGGCCGUGUAAGAGCCAUGCUUCGGGAGUGUUUUAAGAGGUGGAACUCGGAGAAAAUAAACCACGUCGCUGCUUUUUAACUCA